AACGCAUAUUGCGCCCUUUGGUAUUCCGAAGGGCAUACCUGUUCGAGCGUCAUUUCACCCCUCAAAGAUAACUCUUUGGUGUUGGGCAAUGCCUAAAGGCAUGCCUUAAAAUCAGCGAUGGUGAUAUUCAACCGAGGCGCAUAAACGUUGUCUUGCUGGGGGAAUGUCGUCAGUCAAUUGAUGAAUUUUCCAAAGGUUGACCUCGGAUCAGGUAGGAAUACCCGCUGAACUUAA
This 234-nucleotide unclassified non-coding RNA is filed under the name uncultured fungus. RNAcentral describes it as "sequence contains ITS2". The record is from RNAcentral. Lineage: Eukaryota; Fungi.